Molecule: ribosomal RNA, 1445 nt
Filed under: uncultured organism
Description: SSU rRNA
Rfam family: Bacterial small subunit ribosomal RNA
Source: RNAcentral
CGGCAUGCCUUACACAUGCAAGUCGAACGGUAACGCGGGCUUCUGCCUGUCGGCAAGUGGUGAACGGGUGAGUAAUACAUCGGAGCGUGCCCUGUUGUGGGGGAUAACUAGUCUAAAGAUUAACUAAUACCGCAUACUACCUGAGGGUGAAAGCGGGGGACCGUAAGGCCUCGCGCAAUACGACCGGCCGAUGUCUGAUUACCUAGUUGGUGGGGUAAAGGCCUACCAAGGCUACGAUCAGUAACUGGUCUGAGAGGACCAUCAACCACACUGGGACUGACACACAGCCCAAACUCCUACGGAAGGCAACAGUGGGGAAUUUUGGACAAUGGGCGCAACCCUGAUCCACCAAUGCCGCGUGUGUGAACAAGGCCUUCGAGUUGUAAAGCACUUUUGUCCUGAAAGAAAUCACGCUGGCUAAUACCUGACGUGAAUGACCGUACCGGAAGAAUAACCACUGGCUAACUACGUGCCAACAGCCUCGGUAAUACCUAGGGUGCGAGCGUUAAUCGGAAUUACUGGGCAUAAAGCGUGCGCAGGCGGUUUUGUAAGACAGGCAUGAAAUCCCCGGGCUUAACCUGGGAAUGGCGCUUGUGACUGCAAGGAUAGAGUGAGUCAGAGGUGGGUAGAAAUGCACGUGUAGCAGUGAAAUGCGUAGAGAUGUGGAGGAAUACCGAUGGAGAAGGCAUCCCCCUGGGACGAGACUGACGCUCAUGCACGAAAGCGUGGGGAGCAAACAGGAUUAGAUACCUUGGUAGUGCACGCCCUAAGAGAUGUCAAGUAGUUGUUGGGGAUUCAUUUCAUCAGUAAAGUAGCUAACGCGAGAAGUUGACCGGGUGGGGAGUACGGUCAGCAAGAUUAAAACAUCAAAGGAAUUGACGGGGAGCCGCACAAGCGGUGGAUGAUGUGGAUUAAUUAGAUGCAACGCGAAAAACCUUACGUACCCUUGUCAUUCCACUAACGAAGCAGAGAUGCAUCAGGUGCCCGAAAGGGAAAGCGGACACAGGUGGUGCAUGGCUGUCGUCAGUUCGUGUCGUGAGAUGUUGGGUUAAGUCCCGCAACGAGCGCAACCCUUGUCUGUAGUCGUUAAGCAAGGGCACUUUAGAGAGACUGCCGGAGACAAACCGGAGGAAGGUGGGGAUGACGUCAAGUCUUCAUGGCCCUUAUGGGUAGGGCUUCACACGUCAUACAAUGGUGCGUACAGAGGGUUGCCAACCCGCGAGGGGGAGUUAAUUCCAGAAAACGCAUUGUAGUCCGGAUGGUAGUUUGCAAUUGGAUUACGUGAAUCUGGAAUCGUUAGUAAUCGCGGAUCAGCAUGCCGCGGUGAAUACGUUCCCGGGUCUUGUACACACCGCCCGUCACACCAUGGGAGUGGGUUCUGCCAGAAGUAGUUAGCCUAACCGCAAGGAGGGCGAUUACCACGGCAGGGUUCAUGACUGGGGUGA